This 2433-nucleotide ribosomal RNA is filed under the name Scolopendra subspinipes. RNAcentral describes it as "partial 28S ribosomal RNA". It matches the Rfam family "Eukaryotic large subunit ribosomal RNA", at positions 42 to 1931 of the family's 3401-position model. The record is from RNAcentral. Lineage: Eukaryota; Metazoa; Arthropoda; Chilopoda; Scolopendromorpha; Scolopendridae.
AUAAAUAAGCGGAGGAAAAGAAACUAACGAGGAUUCCCCUAGUAACGGCGAGUGAACGGGGAAAAGCCCAGCGCCGAAGCCCUCGUCCCGUGGGACGAUGGGCGUUGUGGCGUUAGGGAGGAACCUCUCCCGGCAGUUUGUGGAAGCCCAAGUCCCCCUGACCGGGGCCACAGCCCGUGGUGGGUGCAAGGCCCGUGUGGCUUUUUCUGCGUCUGCCGGACGGUUCUCUCCCCGGAGUCGGGUUGCUUGGGAGUGCAGCCCUAAGCGGGUGGUAAACUCCACCGAAGGCUAAAUACCUCCACGAGACCGAUAGCAAACAAGUACCGUGAGGGAAAGUUGCAAAGAACUUUGAAGAGAGAGUUCAAGAGUACGUGAAACCGCUCGGAGGCAAACGGGUGGGCCCUCGAAGGUCGAACGGGGGGAUUCAACCCGUCCGCAGGCAUGGUUGCGCGUCACGGAUGGCGAGGCAUCGGGGGUUUUCUCCCCGUGUCUUGCCUUACGGAUCCGAACGUCGGACCGGUCCGUGGCACCAAAGUUAUAUCUUUGCGGCGACCGCGGGCAGGCGCACUUCCCCCUCAGUAGGACGCCGCGACCGGUCGGGUAUCGAAAGAAAAAGCGGCUUUGCAGCGGGACGACGGCAGGUAUCCGUCGCCGGUCACCUUUCUCUCGUCCCUUGUGGCGGGGGAAAAGCCGGUCGGAAUUACAGCUGGUCUCCGCUUCGGUUGCUGCCCGACCGAGGAACUGCGUGCCCGCGCUGUCACGUGACUUCGGUUGCGUGAGACGCGCGGUUCGCCCACCUGGCAGGCUGGGCCACCGGGUACCGGACGCCCCUAGUUUGGCGGUCGGCUAUCUCGCUGUGGCUCGCUGGUGGUCGGGCGUAGCUGCUCUCGUGGUGGCGCUCGUGGUCAGCGGCGAGUAGGUCGGUCGCCCACCCGACCCGUCUUGAAACACGGACCAAGGAGUCUAACAUGUGCGCGAGUCGCAGGGUUGACUCGCAAGUUGAAACCCGAAGGCGAAAUGAAAGUGAAAGUCGGUGCGUCUGGCCGACUGAGGCGGGAUCCGUCCGGGUAUCGCUGUAGCCCUUGAGGGGGCUGCGGGAGCCCGGCGGCGCACCGCCGGCCCGUCUCGACCGCUUCCUGUCGGCGAGGCGGAGCAAGAGCGCACACGUUGGGACCCGAAAGAUGGUGAACUAUGCUCGGGCAGGACGAAGCCAGAGGAAACUCUGGUGGAGGUCCGUAGCGAUUCUGACGUGCAAAUCGAUCGUCGGACCUGAGUAUAGGGGCGAAAGACUAAUCGAACCGUCUAGUAGCUGGUUCCCUCCGAAGUUUCCCUCAGGAUAGCUGGUGCUCGGUGAGGAACGCAGUCUCAUCCGGUAAAGCGAAUGAUUAGAGGCCUUGGGGCCGAAUCGACCUCAACCUAUUCUCAAACUUUCAAUGGGUGAGAAGUCCGGCUUGCCUGACUGAAGCCCGGACCAAAUCUGAUCCGACAGGGUGUCGAUCUGACAGUGUUGUCGGGGAGUAAAAUCCUCGGCAACCUGGCUGCGGCCCUGCUCGGUACGGAUGCGAGUGCCCAGUGGGCCAAUUUUGGUAAGCAGAACUGGCGCUGUGGGAUGAACCAAACGCCGGGUUACGGCGCCCGAUGCGGACGCUCAUCAGACCCCAUGAAAGGUGUUGGUUGCUAUAGACAGCAGGACGGUGGCCAUGGAAGUCGGAAUCCGCUAAGGAGUGUGUAACAACUCACCUGCCGAAGCAACUAGCCCUGAAAAUGGAUGGCGCUCCAGCGUCGAGCCGAUACCCGGCCGCCGGGGCAGAGACUUUGUGGCGAUCCUACAAAAGAAAUGCCCCGGUGAGUAGGAGGGUCGCGGCGGUGUGCGUCGAAGGUGUCGGGCGUAGGCCCGCCUGGAGCCACCGCCGGUGCAGAUCUUGGUGGUAGUAGCAAAUACUCGAGUGAGAACCUUGAGGACUGAAGUGGAGAAGGGUUCCAUGUGAACAGCAGUUGAACAUGGGUCAGUCGGCCCUAAGGAAUAGGGGAAACCCGUUCCGAAGCGGGGUGUUCGUGCAACACGACCCCGGCUGACCGAAAGGGAAUCGGGUUAAUAUUCCCGAACCCGGAUGCGGAAGUCGGACCCUUCGGGGUCCAAUGCGGUAACGCAAACGAACUCGGAGACGUCGGCGGGAGUCCCGGGAAGAGUUGUCUUUUCUUUGUAAGGGACGGACUCCCUGGAAUCGGCUCGACCGGAGAGAGGGAUGUUGUUCCCGUAAAGCACCGCGGCUCUUGCGGUGUCCGGAGCGCUCCCGCCGGCCCUUGAAAAUCCGAGGGAGAGAAUUUGAUUUUCGCACCGGACCGUACCCAUAUCCGCAGCAGGUCUCCAAGGUGAACAGCCUCUAGUCGAUAGAACAAUGUAGGUAAGGGAAGUCGGCAAGCCAGAUCCGU